This is a long non-coding RNA of Bactrocera tryoni, 214 nucleotides long. RefSeq lists it as uncharacterized. The record is from RefSeq and is a predicted model, not a curated record. NCBI's taxonomy places the organism in Eukaryota, Metazoa, Arthropoda, Insecta, Diptera, Tephritidae. The transcript has 3 exons.
AUGAAAACGAAAAGCGCAGUUUAUUUUGGAUUUUAAAGAGAGUAAACGAAAAAGCUUAAGAUGGAGAAUAAGAAAUCAUUUGGAGCAGUUGGAUUCGUAUGACAAAGACGCACCAUUCAAUUAGCCGCAUCACCGGUGACUUGGAGGACGAGUAUUACGUGGAGCUCGCUAUUAGCUCAAGUAAAUAUUUGAUUAUUUUAAUUUUAUUAUUAAA